AUAAUCAAGGAUAUGAAAAAAAUCUGUGGAGGGCAGUAAUAAGCCUUCUUCUUCUUCUUCUAUUAUUAAUGGCGGUUGGCAACCAGCUUUAGGUGGAUUACCACCACCUUCCAGACUGGAGUGUUGAUCAGAACGGCCCCUACCUACUACCACACCAAAAUAACCCAACUUAAUUCACCUUAAUACGCCUAGUUGGGUAUACAGUGACUUGAACUACAGAAGAAGACUGGGCCUACACUGACUUGAACUACAGAAGAAGAAAGGGAAAACAAACAAACGUAUGUGUACCCGCAGUAACGUUACAGCAAACUUCAAGACCAAAUUAUCGUCGCUUCAAAGUUAUAGCAAGUUAGGAAAGAUCAUUCAUUCUGAAUGUUACAUGAUUUCCUAAUGGGAAUAUAUAUGCACCAGUGGUCAAGGGACCUGCAGUGCUUCUCUACACCACCUACAAGCUGACCCCCUAAAAACCUGAGAACAUCUCUUUGACUCCUUCUCUGUUCUCUUCCUCUUGAAAGAAUAUAAGGUUGCACUACCAGAGGAAAAUGGAGUUGCCAUUAAUGUGCUUUGACCUUACCAGACAAAGAGCUUCACAACUGCUGCCACCCAUUCACAUGCUGAUGGUGGCAGAGCUGUCAUACAAGACACUGUCCUGGCCAC
This is a long non-coding RNA of Monopterus albus (swamp eel), 657 nucleotides long. RefSeq lists it as uncharacterized. The transcript has 3 exons. NCBI's taxonomy places the organism in Eukaryota, Metazoa, Chordata, Actinopteri, Synbranchiformes, Synbranchidae. The record is from RefSeq and is a predicted model, not a curated record.